GACGAACGCUGGCGGCGCGCCUAACACAUGCAAGUCGAACGAGCGAGAGAGAGCUUGCUUUCUCAAGCGAGUGGCGAACGGGUGAGUAACGCGUGAGGAACCUGCCUCAAAGAGGGGGACAACAGUUGGAAACGACUGCUAAUACCGCAUAAGCCCACGGGUCGGCAUCGACCAGAGGGAAAAGGAGCAAUCCGCUUUGAGAUGGCCUCGCGUCCGAUUAGCUAGUUGGUGAGGUAAUGGCCCACCAAGGCGACGAUCGGUAGCCGGACUGAGAGGUUGAACGGCCACAUUGGGACUGAGACACGGCCCAGACUCCUACGGGAGGCAGCAGUGGGGAAUAUUGCACAAUGGGGGAAACCCUGAUGCAGCGACGCCGCGUGGAGGAAGAAGGUCUUCGGAUUGUAAACUCCUGUUGUUGAGGAAGAUAAUGACGGUACUCAACAAGGAAGUGACGGCUAACUACGUGCCAGCAGCCGCGGUAAAACGUAGGUCACAAGCGUUGUCCGGAAUUACUGGGUGUAAAGGGAGCGCAGGCGGGAAGACAAGUUGGAAGUGAAAUCUAUGGGCUCAACCCAUAAACUGCUUUCAAAACUGUUUUUCUUGAGUAGUGCAGAGGUAGGCGGAAUUCCCGGUGUAGCGGUGGAAUGCGUAGAUAUCGGGAGGAACACCAGUGACGAAGGCGGCCUACUGGGCACCAACUGACGCUGAGGCUCGAAAGUGUGGGUAGCAAACAAGAUUAGAUACCCUGGUAGUCCACACCGUAAAC
Molecule: ribosomal RNA, 766 nt
Filed under: uncultured bacterium
Lineage: Bacteria
Description: bacterial SSU rRNA
Rfam family: Bacterial small subunit ribosomal RNA
Source: RNAcentral